GACGUAGGGCGCGAGCGUUGUCCGGAUUUAUUGGGCGUAAAGAGCUCGUAGGCGGCUUGUCGCGUCGACCGUGAAAACUUGGGGCUCAACCCCAAGCCUGCGGUCGAUACGGGCAGGCUCGAGUUCGGUAGGGGAGACUGGAAUUCCUGGUGUAGCGGUGAAAUGCGCAGAUAUCAGGAGGAACACCGAUGGCGAAGGCAGGUCUCUGGGCCGAUACUGACGCUGAGGAGCAAAAGCGUGGGGAGCGAACAGG
This 253-nucleotide ribosomal RNA is filed under the name uncultured bacterium. RNAcentral describes it as "partial 16S ribosomal RNA". It matches the Rfam family "Bacterial small subunit ribosomal RNA", at positions 524 to 776 of the family's 1533-position model. The record is from RNAcentral.